Cucumis melo (muskmelon) is the source of this 719-nucleotide long non-coding RNA. RefSeq lists it as uncharacterized. Lineage: Eukaryota; Viridiplantae; Streptophyta; Magnoliopsida; Cucurbitales; Cucurbitaceae. The record is from RefSeq and is a predicted model, not a curated record. The transcript has 3 exons.
UUUUGUGCAUUUAAGGAAUUUAUUUAAGAAAGAUAAUGGGAAUACGGAUAUAUGUAUAUUUUUUGGUAUUAUUUAUAUAUCUGAAAAGGAAAAGGAAAUAAUAAUAAUAAAUAUUAUUGUUAUUAUUUGGGUCUAUAAAUAGCAUUGAAAUGCUUAAGUUAGAAAGAAAAGAAAAAAAAAAAGUUCCUCAUCUUCUUCUCUAAGAUAACCCCUCUGUUGUUGCCGUCUCAUCAGUUGAAGUUAAGAAGAUUUAAAGUGAUGAAUUUUUCCAUCAAGGAUUAGGGGAUUUUUCAGUAACCUUGGUAAGCUAAGGAUCAAGUUAAUUGGAGAAUUUUUACUGUCAGCUAGGGAGUACCUUUGUUUGGCUAAAAUCUACAGGCGAAGGUAAAGGUAGAGGAAAACUGGCGAGCGACAGAGAAGGAUUCUUGGCACGCCAUAUGGGGACUCAGUUUUGCUUCCGCGUCUAUGUUUUAGUGUUUCAGCAUUAUGUUUUUAAUGAAAAUUUAGUCUUCCCUCGUUUCAAAAAGUGUCUACUGUUAUUGUUUCUUUUUAGUAAUGUCCUCAGCUUAGUAUAAAGAGUUGGGUCGUUACAGUUGAUUUCAGAGCGUCAGCUUUUAGGUUAUGUAGACUAACUUACGAUGUGAGUUUUUGAUUUUGUCCCUUUGGCUAUUACGGUCCUUCGUUACUCGCCGGGUAUGUAUUUUAUGAUACAUGAUUAU